UUGGACAACAAGUUUUAGAAAGGCCCACUCGUUUAAUGGUUAGGAUCACAAUGUGGGGUAAUUUGAAGAUAAUUCUCAUGUUUGAAAUGUCCAUGUGAUAUUUCGCAUUUUACUCUAGUGUUACAAACUUGAGAUUUAAAACUUUCUGAAAGAAAGUUGAUAAUUGAAUACUAUCUGUUUUAAAGGCUAUGUAUUGUUGAUUUUGUUCAGGCCAUGACUGUCCAAUAAGUUGAGGCACCUAUUGAUCUAAAGAAAGAGAUGGGAAGAUUAAUAUUUUAACAAAAGUUGCAAAUGGAUUAUUGCCACUACAAAAGCUUUAUCCAAGUAGAAUCUACCAAAAUCACUAGGAAAUUGAUUUGGGCUAGUGCAUUCAAAUGGCCUGUUUUCACCCAUGCAGAUGUCAAGCCUGAUAUGGUGGUGAAGGCAAAGGUGCUUUUUUCUUUCCUGCAUUCAUUGUUACUUCUAUUUUGCUGACAGUCUUCAAGCCACUCUUUGUUCUGUUUGUAAUGGUAUUAAUACUUGAUUUAUGCAUAGACUAUGUACCUAGCUCCAAUCAGGUGUAAGGAUGGGCUUUUUUCAUCAUUUGAGUUGAUGUUUUACAAUGGAAUUUGUUCACUCCCUUUCCUACUAAUCUUUAUAAUCUGUUCCACUUAAAUUGAGGUUGCUGCAUCAUUAGUUACUAGCAUUUGCAGGUUGUGGAUAUGGAUUUUUCAUUUUUACAGUGAUGCGUUGUAUUCGAAUCUGUUUGUUGGAAGUCAGAACCCACUCGAUGAAUCGUAGUUCGAAAGCUUGACCUGACUUAAGGAGUUGACUCAGUCAGGUUAUAUCUAGACUUAGAGAAAAUCACAUUUUAGUCACAAACCUUUUAAAAAAAGUUGUAGUAGUUACUUUAAUUG
Long non-coding RNA from Magnolia sinica, 896 nucleotides. RefSeq lists it as uncharacterized. The record is from RefSeq and is a predicted model, not a curated record. NCBI's taxonomy places the organism in Eukaryota, Viridiplantae, Streptophyta, Magnoliopsida, Magnoliales, Magnoliaceae. The transcript is spliced from 3 exons.